Molecule: RNA transcript, 1668 nt
Organism: Anastrepha ludens (Mexican fruit fly)
Lineage: Eukaryota; Metazoa; Arthropoda; Insecta; Diptera; Tephritidae
Gene name: thyroid receptor-interacting protein 6-like
Exons: 5
Source: RefSeq, a predicted model, not a curated record
AUAAGCUGUGAGCCACUGUAAAUUCAUUAGAAGAAUCCAAGAUAACACAAAACAAAAUAAUGUCGCGCAAACCGGCAUAACCUCAAAUGUAGGUAGGUAGGUAGGUAGGUAGGGUGGUUGUCGUAAGACACACUUAGACCUUCGGCAGGUCCAUUGUGAUACCACUGGAGCUUAUCCUUACUCUACGUGUUCCCUUUCAAACCAUCCGGUUGCUUUAAUAAACGAGCAGAGCUUCGUUAGUUUUAGAUGGGCUAUAUCCGCUACAUCGGUUAGAAAUGCUGUAUAGAGUGUGCGCAGCCUUCUCCUAGCUAGGCUUUCACACUCACAUAAAAGGUGUCUGACUGUUUCCUCUUCUUCUGAAUUUAGACAGCUUCUACAGAAAUCGAAGUAAGGUAGUCCUAACCUUCUAGCGUGGCUGCCUAUUAAACAGUGACCACUUAAUACACCUAUCAUUUUUCUUAUAGAUUCCCUGUUGAAUCUUAGCAAGAUCUUCGAUCGACCGCUGUUCCAGUUCGGCCAUGUCUGUCUGCUUAGUUCGCAUGUUGUGAGGUUUUGCCAGAUUGUAUUUACCUUUUUGAUGGUUUCCCUGUCUAUAAGUAAUUUACAAGUGGCUAUAGGCAGGGGUAUCAGCGCCUUAUCCGGUUCGAGAUCGAGCGUUGUACCGGCUCUUGCAAGUUCAUCCGCCUUACAAUUUCCUGGAAUGUCCCUGUGGCCUGGUACCCAGAUAAGGUGCACCUUGUAGCACUUAGAUACGUCAUCUAGUAGUUUAAAACAUUCUAGAACUGUUUUUGACGAGUGCGUUUUUGAUUCCAGCGCUUUUAUUGCUGCUUGACUGUCCGAGUAAAUGAAGACUUCAUUUGUGGAUAAUACUCUCGUUUUUAUUUCUUUAUGCCCCUCUUUUAUGGCAGUGACUUCCGCCUGAAAUACACUGCAAUGAUCAGAAAAUUUGCGCCACGCUGCUGCGUAUGUUUGGAACCAAUAAUGCCAGAAACCGGUGAAGAAGGAACUGUACGUGUCGUAGCGUUAGAUCGCAGUUUUCACUUCGAAUGUUAUAAAUGUGAAGAGUCGUCAGAAGCCGAGGUUCGUGGAUGCUAUCCUCUGGACGGACAUAUACUCUGUACAAGUUGUAAUGCAAAACGUGUGCAAAUGCUAACAAGCCGCAUGGCAACAGAGUUAUAAACAAAUUUAUUACUGUGACAGUAUGAAUAACUUUUUCAAACGACAUACCGUAUUUAUUUAUUUAAAAGUAUUCGGUUGAUAUGCUCUUUUUCACUCUGCUGCCUCCUGAACGAACGCUGUAGGCACCUAGAAAAUCACCUCCAUAAUCCUAACUUCCUUUUCCCUCUCAGCGCUUCAGCGCUUGAAGAUCGUCGACUACACUUAGAGCCAAUUCAGCCGUUAAAAGAGAUGCAUUAAUAUUUACACUACAGUGAAACCGAAACACGUUUAACAAGAGCAACGUCUCACCAGUUACCAUCUACAUAAUUUACUUUCCAUUGCAUUUCCGAUCAGAACAUUGUAGUCAAAGUGUUCUACAGGGUGCACCAUGUUUUAUGUCGUACAAUUUCAACCAUUAAUCGCUUUACACCGAAACAACGCGAAAUGGACGCUAUAAAACCCGAAAUGCUUGACAAGGUGAUGACAAACGCAGAAAAGAGAUCGCAGCUU